CUUGCCCUUGGAGGUGUUACAGGUAUGUUUGCUGCAUCACACAUUCUUCAGUAGGCGGCAGAGUGGAGUGAGGCUAUGCUCAGCGUUCUGACCUGUGAACAUCUGAAUGGUUAGUAGCCUAAUAUG
Small nucleolar RNA from Rattus norvegicus (Norway rat), 126 nucleotides. Ensembl annotates it as small nucleolar RNA SNORA17. The record is from Ensembl. Lineage: Eukaryota; Metazoa; Chordata; Mammalia; Rodentia; Muridae.